AAUUUGGAUAAAGCAUUCUAUUGUGAGGGAAACCAUGCUCUCACUAUGAACUGAGUUUUUAAAAGAUUAUAGAAAAUAUUUUUAAAAUAGAAACAUGGUUAUGAUAGCCUAAGAUAAAAGUGAAUUAAACAGAAUAACACAGAAAGAAUAUUUAUGAAAGGACCUAGAAGUAUGCUAUGGUACAUUCCUCAGCGAGCUGCCUAACAAUUAUGUAUUUUGGAAUUGUCAAUGGCAAUUUAACAUCAAUCAUCAUGAAUACCAAAGCCCCUAUGUCACUUAGUACAAAAAUGCGCUUAACCAAACUUCACUCUGAAUAUCACCACUGCUUUUGGUUGUCUUAACAUUAACCUGAAAAAAUGGCAUAAUGGAAAUCUGACUCAAGUGGUAGAGUGCCAGUCCUGAAGAAAAUAAGUGCAGACAUGAGGCCCUCAUUUCAUCAAUUCAAACCCUAGUACUGGCAUAUGCACACGCACAUACACAAAAUGUAUAACUGAAUUGUGGUUCAUAGAAAAUUUCAUUAUUUCUAUUUUUAUUUGGUGAAACUGGUUAUUGAACUAAAAGCCCUGUGCUUGCUAGGAAGUUCUCAGUUGUAAGAAAUAAUGCAUGUUUACAGUGUACAAGGUGAUAUUUGAUAUGUAUAUAGAUUGUGAACAAAUAAAGCUAAUGAAUACAUUCCUC
Molecule: long non-coding RNA, 678 nt
Organism: Perognathus longimembris pacificus (Pacific pocket mouse)
Lineage: Eukaryota; Metazoa; Chordata; Mammalia; Rodentia; Heteromyidae
Exons: 2
Source: RefSeq, a predicted model, not a curated record